UGGGGAAUAUUGGACAAUGGGCGAAAGCCUGAUCCAGCCAUGCCGCGUGUGUGAAGAAGGUCUUCGGAUUGUAAAGCACUUUAAGUUGGGAGGAAGGGCAUUAACCUAAUACGUUAGUGUUUUGACGUUACCGACAGAAUAAGCACCGGCUAACUCUGUGCCAGCAGCCGAGGUAAUACAGAGGGUGCAAGCGUUAAUCGGAAUUACUGGGCGUAAAGCGCGCGUAGUUGGUUUGUUAAGUUGGAUGUGAAAUCCCCGGGCUCAACCUGGGAACUGCAUUCAAAACUGACUGACUAGAGUAUGGUAGAGGGUGGUGGAAUUUCCUGUGUAGCGGUGAAAUGCGUAGAUAUAGGAAGGAACACCAGUGGCGAAGGCGACCACCUGGACUAAUACUGACACUGAGGUGCGAAAGCGUGGGGAGCAAACA
Molecule: ribosomal RNA, 427 nt
Filed under: uncultured bacterium
Lineage: Bacteria
Description: partial 16S ribosomal RNA
Rfam family: Bacterial small subunit ribosomal RNA
Source: RNAcentral